This 21-nucleotide microRNA is filed under the name Zea mays. RNAcentral describes it as "microRNA miR-3079". The record is from RNAcentral. Lineage: Eukaryota; Viridiplantae; Streptophyta; Magnoliopsida; Poales; Poaceae.
UGCCUUGGUCGCACGGUUGCA